This 2150-nucleotide long non-coding RNA is filed under the name Homo sapiens (human). Its description in RNAcentral is "PACRG antisense RNA 3". Lineage: Eukaryota; Metazoa; Chordata; Mammalia; Primates; Hominidae. The record is from RNAcentral.
GUGAUUCAGUUAAAAACUGAAUUAACUGAAAUCAAUUCAACAACAACUGCCCCGGUGCUUCCCCGUAGAUAGCACCGCUGUUGUUUCAGGAACACAGUCAUCCCUCAGAAAUGGAUUGGGUGACAAGUGGUCUGCAUGCUGCACACGGGCACUGGGUCUCUGAAUGUAACCAAAUUGUUCUCCUCUUAUCAUUCCCAUUCACUGGUGUACUUGUUUGUGGAGCCUGCAGAACUGCCUUUUUCAAGAAUGGCAGCUUGGCCUCUAAAUCUGCUUCCCACUGAUGGGAAGAGCUGACAGAAGCUUUAGAGAGGCACAGGGUGAGUUCCUAAAACCAGAGUCAACACACACUCUUCAUCUGUUUUGUGCUUCACUCCCUGCUCAUCUUCCUAAAACACUGAGUUUGGUCAUAUCAUGUCCUACAAGUUGUCAAUGAUUUCCCAUGAUCUUGUCUUCAGGAUAAAGUUCCUUAGUCAAAAGCAAUGAAGACCUGACCUAAUCUGUAAGGCAAAAUCAACACUUUUUAGCCUGGCCUUCCAUGCCCUUCCAUGCCCUUCGAGCCCCCAGAGCACCCAUGGCAGUCCAUCUCUCUCUACUUGUCCAGAGGGACACUCUCUUAGAGCCAGUGGCUCCUACUCACGGUUCCCCGAACACGUCGUGGGAAUGUUUGCCUUCAUACCUUCCCAGAUCAUUUUCCUGAUCUCAGACACCCUCCGUCCUCAUUCAUUCACUCUUCAAUUGUCCAACAAAUAUUUGUUGCUCAUGCAACCUGGAUCACCCACAUAGUUUCAAGACUGCAUCUUCUAAACUAUUUAAAUCCUAUCCAUUCUUCAAGAAAUGUUUCAUGACGCUUCCUUAACUGCUAAGGACCCGCAGAUUCUCUUCCUCUUGGGACUCACACACUGACUCAUCUCCCGAUCUUUUGGUGCUCAGCAAAGUGGAGGCUUCUGUUUUGGACUUAGAGUCAAGACCAUUAAAUAAGACUAUGCUCUAAAAAGUACACCUCCGUGGCCCGGAACGAGUGAAUUAACAUCUAUGAGUUUCCAUUUCCUUGUCUAUAAAAUUGUGAAAUUGCAACUUAAGAUUAGUUCUGAAGAUUAAAUGAGGUAACAUAGGUGAAAAUGCUACAUUUAUGUAAGAAAUUACUCUUUCAUAAGGAUGUCAAUGUUUAAAUACGCAUUUUCUCAAUUUUGUUAAUGAAAUACUUUGAAAUUCUUUUUUCUAAUGAAACCUGCUGAAUGUAAAAGAGACCCGUACUAAAGAAAGAUACCACAUGAAGCACCAAGGGUCUCUUUCUGGAUCUAUCAUGACUCUUGUGACUGUUUCAGCAGCACAGAAAUUAAAGGCGAUUGUUAUUCUGGAGGAAGACAAUGAGUCUCAUCUAUAUCUUGUUUGGGUUGAUUUUGUAAACAGAACAUUCCAAAGAUCAUUCUUGCCUUUUGUUUCCACUGAGAACUAGAAUAAAGUAAAACAAACUAUCAAUUUAAGGAAAGCCUCGAAAUUGUUAGCAAUUUCUUCAGUAACUUUCAUCCAUCAACUGAUUUUAUGAACACAAAUUUGCAGAAAUGGGCAAGAAAAACUACUUAACUCAUUGGUGGGAAGCAGUGGGCUCUCUAAGGAGGGAGAGAUAGCAGUGAUUUCACCACCGGACCGUGGAACACAAAGAGCCUGGAAGAGUCUAUCACUUUCAACUGAAACCGCAAGAAGAACUAAGUAGGUUAAGCCCUAAGAAUGUUCCUAGGUAACCUACUUGAGUUGAAAUUUGACUAAGAAUCCUUACACCCUACCUAAGAGAGGUAACGCUAUUAGGAUCGGAAGUGAUUGGAAGCUUUGUUUCAGAUCUCGUCCAAAAGGGAGAACGGUCAAUGACAAAGCUGCUGUGAAUAGUAUUCUGGGGGCGUGGUGGAACCCCGAUUCACUGCUAUCUCCCGAAUCAGCAACUUGACAGAGCGCGCCUCCCGGGCCUUGGAAGCCUUCCAUUCCGAGCUGGCUGGGUGGGACUCAGGUUUUACGGUAUGCUGGACUUUUUCCCCGUGAGUUAAAACACAUUUAUAGUAACUAAGUGGUUAAUGAUGAGAAAAAACCCCAAACUACUGUACUAAUAAUCAACCUCUGCUAUUUGGUUUGUAAAAAACAAAAAUACAUCUAUAAAA